ACGCUGGCGGCAGGCCUAACACAUGCAAGUCGAGCGGAAACGACACUAACAAUCCUUCGGGUGCGUUAAUGGGCGUCGAGCGGCGGACGGGUGAGUAAUGCCUAGGAAAUUGCCUUGAUGUGGGGGAUAACCAUUGGAAACGAUGGCUAAUACCGCAUAAUGCCUACGGGCCAAAGAGGGGGAUCUUCGGACCUCUCGCGUCAAGAUAUGCCUAGGUGGGAUUAGCUAGUUGGUGAGGUAAUGGCUCACCAAGGCGACGAUCCCUAGCUGGUCUGAGAGGAUGAUCAGCCACACUGGAACUGAGACACGGUCCAGACUCCUACGGGAGGCAGCAGUGGGGAAUAUUGCACAAUGGGCGAAAGCCUGAUGCAGCCAUGCCGCGUGUAUGAAGAAGGCCUUCGGGUUGUAAAGUACUUUCAGUUGUGAGGAAGGGGGURUMGUUAAUAGCUGYRMYUCUUGACGUUAGCAACAGAAGAAGCACCGGCUAACUCCGUGCCAGCAGCCGCGGUAAUACGGAGGGUGCGAGCGUUAAUCGGAAUUACUGGGCGUAAAGCGCAUGCAGGUGGUUCAUUAAGUCAGAUGUGAAAGCCCGGGGCUCAACCUCGGAACUGCAUUUGAAACUGGUGAACUAGAGUGCUGUAGAGGGGGGUAGAAUUUCAGGUGUAGCGGUGAAAUGCGUAGAGAUCUGAAGGAAUACCAGUGGCGAAGGCGGCCCCCUGGACA
Molecule: ribosomal RNA, 723 nt
Filed under: Vibrio sp. 13G10
Lineage: Bacteria; Pseudomonadati; Pseudomonadota; Gammaproteobacteria; Vibrionales; Vibrionaceae
Description: bacterial SSU rRNA
Rfam family: Bacterial small subunit ribosomal RNA
Source: RNAcentral